Molecule: ribosomal RNA, 465 nt
Filed under: Vreelandella stevensii
Lineage: Bacteria; Pseudomonadati; Pseudomonadota; Gammaproteobacteria; Oceanospirillales; Halomonadaceae
Description: partial 16S ribosomal RNA
Rfam family: Bacterial small subunit ribosomal RNA
Source: RNAcentral
CCUACGGGGGGCUGCAGUGGGGAAUAUUGGACAAUGGGGGCAACCCUGAUCCAGCCAUGCCGCGUGUGUGAAGAAGGCCCUCGGGUUGUAAAGCACUUUCAGUGAGGAAGAACGCCUGGUGGUUAAUACCCAUCAGGAAAGACAUCACUCACAGAAGAAGCACCGGCUAACUCCGUGCCAGCAGCCGCGGUAAUACGGAGGGUGCGAGUGUUAAUCGGAAUUACUGGGCGUAAAGCGCGCGUAGGUGGCUUGAUAAGCCGGUUGUGAAAGCCCCGGGCUCAACCUGGGAACGGCAUCCGGAACUGUCAAGCUAGAGUGCAGGAGAGGAAGGUAGAAUUCCCGGUGUAGCGGUGAAAUGCGUAGAGAUCGGGAGGAAUACCAGUGGCGAAGGCGGCCUUCUGGACUGACACUGACACUGAGGUGCGAAAGCGUGGGUAGCAAACAGGAUUAGAUACCCUUGUAGUC